Molecule: regulatory RNA element, 35 nt
Organism: Ovis aries (sheep)
Lineage: Eukaryota; Metazoa; Chordata; Mammalia; Artiodactyla; Bovidae
Rfam family: Iron response element I
Source: Rfam
CUGUCUCUUGCUUCAACAGUGCUUGGAAGGAACAG